CCUACGGGUGGCAGCAGUGGGGAAUUUUGGACAAUGGGGGCAACCCUGAUCCAGCCAUGCCGCGUGCGGGAAGAAGGCCUUCGGGUUGUAAACCGCUUUUGUCAGGGAAGAAAUCUUCCGAGCUAAUACCUUGGGAGGAUGACGGUACCUGAAGAAUAAGCACCGGCUAACUACGUGCCAGCAGCCGCGGUAAUACGUAGGGUGCAAGCGGGGAUCAGAAUUAGCGGGGGUGGAGCGUGAGCAGGCGGUUGAAAUCCCCGGGCUUAACCUGGGAACUGCACUUGUGACUGUACGGCUGGAGUACGGCAGAGGGGGAUGGAAUUCCGCGUGUAGCAGUGAAAUGCGUAGAUAUGCGGAGGAACACCGAUGGCGAAGGCAGUCCCCUGGGCCUGUACUGACGCUCAUGCACGAAAGCGUGGGGAGCAAACAGGAUUAGAUACCCCGGUAGUC
RNAcentral lists this ribosomal RNA (450 nucleotides) under uncultured bacterium. RNAcentral describes it as "partial 16S ribosomal RNA". It matches the Rfam family "Bacterial small subunit ribosomal RNA", at positions 338 to 795 of the family's 1533-position model. The record is from RNAcentral.